RNAcentral lists this ribosomal RNA (3454 nucleotides) under Luteuthis dentatus. RNAcentral describes it as "partial small subunit ribosomal RNA". The stretch from base 1105 to 3454 matches the Rfam family "Eukaryotic small subunit ribosomal RNA". Lineage: Eukaryota; Metazoa; Mollusca; Cephalopoda; Octopoda; Luteuthidae. The record is from RNAcentral.
ACCUGGUUGAUCCUGCCAGUAGUCAUAUGCUUGUCUCAAAGAUUAAGCCAUGCAUGUUUAAGUUCACGUCACGAUUAAGAACGGGCGAAACCGCGAAUGGCUCAGGAACCGGACCUAAUCCUCGAGAUCGUAUUCCUCCACGGAGGAAAGUGGAUAACUGUGGUAAUUCUAGAGCUAAUACAUGCAACUAAAGUCUCGAUCUUCGUUCGGUAGCUGUAUUGAGUGGUUGAUUUCUAUUGCUUACGCUGGUCGCGGCAGUGUUCGAGUUCUCGAUUAAUACGGACUUCUUUCGUUGCCGUUAGUAGUUUGGUCUUCGUUACCGACGCCGUCCGCGCUUGCGCACACGUAUCGUUAUCGCGCUGCUUUUUACUCUCCUCCGUACGACGCCUUUGAUCGCGGCGCAACAUAUUAGACUGAGACCGAUGCGUUUUGUUGGUCGUCGAUCGAAUUGAUUCACUUACGCACGCAAUUCCGCACGCCCCUUUAUGCGAACAGACCCGAUAGAUGAUGCGCGCUCGCCCUGGCCUACAUACGAAAUACUACUUCGAAUAGCAACGACAACACGACUAAACGUAUUUGUAGAGAGGCUGAAACACAGUGUUGUUACUUUCUCGUUGCUGCCCGUACUACGUGUUUGUUUGUUCUGUUCGUCGUGUUCGUUUUUGUUAUGGUCGUUGCGUGUGGUUGCAUGUCGUCUUCAUCGUUGUCUUUGUAGCCGCUUUUUUGUCGUUGUCGUUUUUACAUGCGCUACGUCGUUCUCUUUUCGGCGGCGUAUCCGACGCGCCCGCUUUUGGUGACUCUGGAUAACACAAUUGUCGAUCGCUAUUGGUCACUGUUUUUUGUACCUAGCGACGGGUCCCUCGAGGGUCCGCCCUAUCAACUGUCGACGGUCGAAUAAUUGCCUACCGUGGUUACAACGGGUAACGGGGAAUCGGGGUUCGAUUCCGGAGAGGGAGCAUGCGAAACGGCUACCACAUCCAAGGAAGGCAGCAGGCGCGCAAAUUACCCACUCCCGGCACGGGGAGGUAGUGACGAAAAAUAACGACGCGGGACUCUGUCGAGGCCCCGCGAUCGGAAUGGGUACACUUUAAAUCGGUUAACGAGUAUCAACCGGAGGGCAAGUCUGGUGCCAGCAGCCGCGGUAAUUCCAGCUCCGGUAGCGUAUAUUAAAUUUGUUGCGGUUAAAAAGCUCGUAGUCGGAAUUCGGGUCUAAAAAAAAACGUAGUAAAAUACGUUUCGGGGCGUCGGCACCGUCGUUCGAGUCCGAAUUUCGGUUGUUUUUAUCCGUUCGCACACCCGGCCCUAUCCGCCGGUACGAACGAGGGAAGGCCAUUCGUGAUUUGUCUGAUUAGUUUUUAUGUUUGGUGUUGAUUGUUUUUUUUUUUGUAUUUGUGGUGUCCGUUCGUUCGUUCGUUCGUUCGUUUCGUUUGUUUUGUUCGUUCGUUGUUCUUUUUUUGUUCGUUGUUCGUUGGUUGUUCGUUUUGUUGUUUUUUCGUUUCACGUUAAACGUAAUUUAAACUUCAUUAUCGACGACAACUUCUUCGACAACAUCGACUACGACGCCAAUUAUAACGACAACUUCGACGACGACGUCGUCGUCACAUGCUAAUAAUAAUAAUUAUUUUCUACCUUCAUUUCACAUAACUUAUCAGAUGGAAAGGCGUUUGGUAAACGAAUUCGCGUCGUGCACCUCUUUCGAUUCCUCCGAGGGUGCUCUUUAUCGAGUGUCUAAGGCGGCCGGUAUGUUCACUUUGAAAAAAUUAGAGUGCUCAGAGCGAGCUAUGUUAGGCUUGCAUACGAUAAGCAUGGAAUGAUAGAAAAGGGCCUCGUCUACGUCUAUCGGUCUCCGUUUACGACGAGGCAAUGAUCGAAGGGAGCGGUCGGGGCCACUCGUAUUGCGACGUUAGAGGUGAAAUUCUUGGAUCGUCGCAAGACGCACUGCAGCGAUGGCGUGUGGCAAGCAUGUCUUCCUCGAUCAAGAGCGAAAGUCGGAGGUUCGAAGACGAUCAGAUACCGUCGUAGUUCCGACCGUAAACGAUGCCGACUGGCGAUCCGCCGGCGUUCGCUUCGAUGACCCGGCGGGUAGCCUGCGGGAAACCAGAGUUUGUUCCGGGGGGAGUAUGGUUGCAAAAUCGAAACUUAAAGGAAUUGACGGAAGGGCACCACCAGGAGUGGAGCCUGCGGCUUAAUUUGACUCAACACGGGAAAACUCACCCGGUCCGGACACCGGUAGGAUUGACAGAUCGAUAGCUCUUUCUCGAUUCGGUGGGUGGUGGUGCAUGGCCGUUCUUAGUUGGUGGAGCGAUCCGUCUGGUUGAUUCCGAUAACGAACGAGACUCCGGCCUGCUAACUAGCGCGCUGAUUAGUGCUAGAUAUAUACAAUAUUAUUCUAUAUAUAUAUAUAUUUCGCGAUGACUAUGACGACGAGGCCACAUUGACGGCAACGGCAACGACUAAUGGGCGGCAUCGACGACGACGACAGCAUCAUCGUUUGUCGUUUUUUCGUUGUUUGUCGUUUGUUUGUUGUUUGUUGUUUGGUUGUUCUUUGUGUCAGUCGUUUUGUUGUUGCGUGAUUUUAUGUGUGUGUGUAUGUUUAAAGGCGUAUAUACGCGGCCAGUCGGUUGCUUCCUGCGCUUCUUAGAGGGACGGGUGGCAGAAAGCCACACGAGGCGGAGCGAUAACAGGUCUGUGAUGCCCUUAGAUGUCCGGGGCUGCACGCGCGCUACACUGGAGUUAUCAGCGGGCACUUUCACCCUUCCCGAAAGGGUUGGGAAACCUCUCAACCAACUCCCGUGAUAGGGAUCGGGGACUGUAAUUGACCCCGUGAACGAGGAAUUCCCGGUAGGCGCGGGUCAACAGCCCGCGUCGAUCACGUCCCUGCCCUUUGUACACACCGCCCGUCGCUACUACCGAUCGAACGGUCCGGUGAGGUCCUCGGAUCUGGCCGACGAUGCCGACACUGUCUAUAUUCGAAGCUUUAUUUUACUACGUUCCGCUACACCUCAUCCUCAUGCUCGUUUCAACAUACACGACACGGUAAUAAAUACAAAUCUUGGUUGAUUUUUUGUGGUUGUUGUCGAACAGCGUCACGCUUUGCGACGAUAACGACGGCGACGACGACGACGACGACAUAUUAACCACUAACUGCAGCAUUCUUCAUCGUUGUUGUAGUUCGGUUUGUGGUUGUUGUUGUUGUUGUUCGUUUUUGUUGUUCGUUUUUGUUGUUGUCGUUCUGUUUCGUCAUUAAUAUUGGACGAUUUCUUUUUUGUUUUGGUCGUCAUCGUUCGUGUUGUCGUCUCUUUGUGUGGUUUGUUAUAGCUUACGUAAUUUUUUGCCCCUUUCGCAUAAAGACGUCGUCAUCUGAUGGCCCGGAGAAGACGACCGAACCCGAUCGUUUAGAGGAAGUAAAAGUCGUAACAAGGUUUCCGUAGGUGAACCUGCGGAAGGAUCAUUA